This is a long non-coding RNA of Hordeum vulgare subsp. vulgare (domesticated barley), 1583 nucleotides long. RefSeq lists it as uncharacterized. The transcript has 2 exons. The record is from RefSeq and is a predicted model, not a curated record. NCBI's taxonomy places the organism in Eukaryota, Viridiplantae, Streptophyta, Magnoliopsida, Poales, Poaceae.
UACAUCUGAAUGUAGUUCAUAGUGAAAUCUCUAAAAAGACUUAUAUUUAGGAACGGAGGGAGUAGUACUAAAUCUUCUAAUCUUUACCUCUUUGAAAUUUUGAUGUACUUCUAAAAAAGUUAAGCUGGCAAAGACAUCACCGUAUGACGCUUUCAGAUUUUGUUGCACACUAUCGUGCACUGCGCUAUGUGAAUGUUGAAUACACAUUUUGCAUUUAGCUAGAGGACUCAUUUGAGUCAUUUCCUAUUUGGUACAACAUAUAUUAGGAUUGUAUGUUAACUACUGAACCAUUUAACAUGUAUCAGUAGAUUUCAGCUGGGUGUAAGAUGAUGUAACUGAUAUAUCAGCAGAAUGUCUAAUUUUUAUAUGAGGUACUUUUAGGAAGUAUUUAUUCUUAAUAUUGAUAUAUCAAAGUAAAUAUUGCUGAUUUCAAACACCAUCUGCAAUGACCUGGAUCCAAUAUUAUUUGCAUUGUUCUCUUUUAGAAUUCCUCUUCGAAUGACAGAAAAUUAUGGGAUACUAUCUUCAUUGUCGAUCCAUUUCAUGAGAUAAAAGUCCCUACGUGUUAUGAAUUUUGAUCAUCUUGUUUGUUUUCCUGUUGCCUCACCUUUUAUGUUGAUCACAAGUUUGUCACUCUUAUAGAAUCUUUUGGUACCUCUAAAUCUCCAAUUGGCAUAGCUGAACUCAUGUGAAACUACAUAUAUGUCGUGUAGGAUACUUGUAUUCAUGCUUUGUGCAAAGUUCAUCUUUUUUAUUUCAUGUUUUGUAAAGCAUGGUGUGGCUUCCACAUGCACGAUUGGUGGCAAUGUUUUUAGUCCUUCGGUUUGCAGUUUUCAUGGCCUUGAGCAACACAUUUAGAUAAGGGAUUAGCUUGCAAUAUUCAUAAGAAUUACUCGCUCCGUCCCAUAAUAUAAGGCGUUUUUACCAAGCUAUGUUAGCUUGCAAAAAAAUUCUUAUAUUACAGGACCGAGGGGGGUAUAUUUUUAAUGUACACUUGUUUAUUGUAAAUUAAUUGAUACAUGCAUUGCAUGUGCACAUCUAUUGCAAAAUAAUGAUCCGUUAAAAUGCUACAUGAGAUAAUAUGUUCAAAUUUCUUUCGUUAUUUGUUGACGUUUAUAUUGUAAAUUGUGGUUGUGGGCAUCCCAAAGAAGCUUGUUAUGACAAUUCGAAUUUUCUUGGACCACCGCCGCAAGAACAUGUCACUGCAGGGUCAAGAUACAAGGUCUAGGUAGAAGCGACAUCUUCUCAAGGUGUGCUCACAAGGGUCCAGAGCGAUUACAUGUCCAUCACUCAUGGCGGCGAGAUGCACAUGUAUAAGGUAAGCUUCGUGUGGAGAUGUCGAACCGACACAAGUUGGGAGCCCGGAUGAAGAAGGUUGCCGAUGGGAGAACGGGGAGAAGUGAGAUGUUUAUGGUAGCUAAUGAAUGAUGUUAUCUUAGUUUGUGGAUUUUGUUUUGGUCGACUCAGAAACCUUGUUUAGUGUCUGAAGAUCCCUUUUUGCGAACUGUUCAAACCAUCUCUUCAUUAUUUUUGUGUAAAUGAUCAAAAUGCAAUUUAAAUAACUAAGUUAACCCUUUCAGGAA